RNAcentral lists this ribosomal RNA (253 nucleotides) under uncultured bacterium. Its description in RNAcentral is "partial 16S ribosomal RNA". It matches the Rfam family "Bacterial small subunit ribosomal RNA", at positions 524 to 776 of the family's 1533-position model. The record is from RNAcentral.
UACGUAGGGACCGAGCGUUGUUCGGAUUUAUUGGGUUUAAAGGGUGCGUAGGCGGCCUAUUAAGUCAGUUCUGAAAUAUCCCGGCUUAACCGGGAGGGUGGGAUUGAUACUGAUGGGCUUGAGUGGAGUCGAGGUAGGCGGAAUUGACGGUGUAGCGGUGAAAUGCCUAGAUAUCGUCAAGAACACCGAUAGUGUAGACAGCUUACUAGACUUCAACUGACGCUGAGGCACGAAAGUGUGGGGAUCAAACAGG